CGACUGCAAAAAUCUGUAUCGAAGCCAAUAAGAGAAAUCAGAGCGGCCAGAGCCAUUCAAUCCCUGCAAGGAGGGGUCUCCAUUGAAAGAUGCUGACGGUGAAUUUACGCCAUGUAGUCCACGAGGUUUAGCAUGCCCUCGUGGGUAUGCCUGCAACUUCGAGCUGGCUGACGCACCAUCCGUCUGUUGUCCAGCAACUGUGCAAGAUGCAGCACCUCCGCAACGAUCACCAGCACGGCGUGUCUUGCCCGACGGUCCUUCUUUCUCAACUUUCUUCUCGGUGGAUAUGGAAC
Priapulus caudatus is the source of this 293-nucleotide long non-coding RNA. RefSeq lists it as uncharacterized. Lineage: Eukaryota; Metazoa; Priapulida; Priapulimorpha; Priapulimorphida; Priapulidae. The record is from RefSeq and is a predicted model, not a curated record. The transcript is spliced from 3 exons.